AGGUGCGAUCAUACCAGCACUAAUGCACCGGAUCCCAUCAGAACUCCGCAGUUAAGCGUGCUUGGGCGAGCGUUGUACUAGGAUGGGUGACCUCCUGGGAAGUCCUCGUGUUGCACCUCUUU
RNAcentral lists this ribosomal RNA (122 nucleotides) under Glycine soja. The record is from RNAcentral. Lineage: Eukaryota; Viridiplantae; Streptophyta; Magnoliopsida; Fabales; Fabaceae.